This 500-nucleotide ribosomal RNA is filed under the name uncultured bacterium. RNAcentral's name for it is "partial 16S ribosomal RNA". It matches the Rfam family "Bacterial small subunit ribosomal RNA", at positions 30 to 523 of the family's 1533-position model. The record is from RNAcentral.
AUUGAACGCUGGCGGCAUGCCUUACACAUGCAAGUCGAACGGCAGCACGGGAGCAAUCCUGGUGGCGAGUGGCGAACGGGUGAGUAAAGUAUCGGAACGUGCACAGUCGUGGGGGCUAACGUAGCGAAAGUUCCGCUAAUACCGCAUAAGAACGAUGGAUGAAAGCGGGGGACCGCAAGACCUCGCGCGAUUGGAGAGGCCGAUAUCAGAUUAGGUAGUUGGUGGGGUAAAGGCUCACCAAGCCAACGAUCUGUAGCUGGUCUGAGAGGACGACCAGCCACACUGGGACUGAGACACGGCCCAGACUCCUACGGGAGGCAGCAGUGGGGAAUUUUGGACAAUGGGCGAAAGCCUGAUCCAGCCAUGCCGCGUGCAGGAUGAAGGCCUUCGGGUUGUAAACUGCUUUUGUACGGAACGAAAAGGUUUGGCCUAAUAAGCUGAGCUCAUGACGGUACCGUAAGAAUAAGCACCGGCUAACUACGUGCCAGCCGCCGCAGUAA